This 206-nucleotide long non-coding RNA is filed under the name Nicotiana benthamiana. RNAcentral describes it as "long non-coding RNA (NBEN_LNC000215)". Lineage: Eukaryota; Viridiplantae; Streptophyta; Magnoliopsida; Solanales; Solanaceae. The record is from RNAcentral.
UCAAAACCUACAAAAGAGUACACGUUUAGUAUAUUGCAUUGAGAACGUGUUUCUAACAAGAUAUAGCUUCCUAUUUUAAUAAGCUAACAGGUCUAUGGGAUGAACUUGAUUCUAUGUGUGUUAAUCAUGGUCAAAGGUGUGUCUGUGCUGCAAAAGAUGGUAUAGUUCAGGAAUGUGAUGAAAAUAAGGUCUUUCAGUUUUUAAUG